AGGCGAACCUCCAUUCUUACCCGAAUCUUUUGACGGAAUUCUUCUUGAUGCCCCCUGCAGUGGAAUGGGACAGAGACCAUACAUGGCUUGUACUUGGACUUUGAAGGAAAUGAUACCAUAUCAACCAUUACAGAGAAAACUCUUUACUGUGGAGCCUCAAAUCGGAGGAGCAGGGAUGAUGGGAGUUGGCCUGACAUCUGAACAGUUGAAACAGCUGCAGCGAUUCGAUCCGUUGGUGGUGCCAUCACGGGACACCGACUUUGAUUGUCUCAGAGACAGCAGAACAGAAGACAUGAUCUGGCUGGCCAAUGAGGACUGUGUAGGUUUCUUCACUGCAAGAUUUGUGAAAUGCAAAAGCAAUAGAGAAGGAGCCAUAGAAGUGAAGAUUCCAAACAUUUGCUGUGCAGUUUUUUUUUUUUUUUUUAAAUUUAACUUGAAUCAAUCGUCAGGCCACAGACUGAUUCUGUGGUUGCUGAGGAAACUGAAGACUGCCAGCUGUUCCGCCGGGAACCCAGAGAUUUGAUCAAGAGAUUCUGCUUCAUAGAGGAAUUAGUCAGGGGGCAGAUGGAGAUUAUACUUUGUGUUUUUAAAAUAAUUUUUUUCUUCAUGGAUUUAGCAGAGUAUAAAGAAGGCAGUAUGAAGAAAAGGGGAUGCCUAUAGAUGUCUGGAACAUACUUUUACUUGGGGUCUUUGUUUUAAUUUAUAAAGAGUGCAAAUCAUUUUUAAUGUUAAAAUCAGGGGAUUUAACAAAAGAAAAUCCGCAAUAUUUAAUUUGGUUAUAAAGCAUGUUUUCUGUUCCUCAGUUCAUGUGUACAAGUUGCUUACGAAUUCAGGUUAUGGGAACUAUAACUUAUGUAUCAUGUGCCAGGAACUGAGCUGGGGAUUUUACCUGACUUUUUCUGUUGACUAUUUCAUUAAUCAGCUUCCUUUCACCUGAAUUCUGGGCCUUUCUUAAAUGACAGUCUCCCUUCACUGUGUUUAAUUUUUUCCCCCUCAUAUUUAAAAAAACUUUUUUUUUCUCUUUACAGCCUCACCUGUGGAACAUGGAAGUUCUCUGGCUAGGGGUUGAAUCAGAGCUGCAGCUGCAGGUCUACACCACAGCCACGCCAAAUCCGAGCUGAAUCUGCAGCCUAUACUCCAGCUUGUGACAAUGCCAGAUCCUUAACCUGCUGAGCGAGGCCAGGGAUUGAACCUACAUCCUCAUGGACACUAUGUCAGGUUCUUAACCCUCUGAGCCAUGCCAGGAAGUCCCCCCUUCAUAUUUUAAACUGAAAACGAAAAUGAAACUUUUUUUUUUUUACUCUAUAGAUUAAAAGUGAGAAUACUACACAAUUUGGGUACCUUUUAUCACCUGAUGGGUCACAUACAGGUUAUUAAGAGAUGUGAGUGGUGAGAAAGAGAAAAAAGCAUCCUCUGAGAGCUGGGAAGUGGCUGGACACUUAGAGUUAAGCCUUGGCGUCCUACCACCGAACAGAAGCAGGUCCAGAGAACACCGACCUCAGACCAUGCAGCUGUGACUGGGCCAGAUCAAGACAAAAAAGACCUCUUUACAGUUAAAAAUCUGAAAUCAUCCAAACCACAAACGUGACCAAACACCACAUCUUUCCCUGUAGUGGCCAGUUUAAGAGGACUGCCUUUUUAAAAUUAAUUGUAACGGUGGGCUUGCUUCAUCCUACCUGCUUUUUUAGGUAAGAUAUAUUAAAAUACUCAAUACCCAGCCAUAAUUUAAAAGCUGUCUCAUUUAGUGUUAAUAACAUCCGUUCUGUAAAUUCACAUCUACCCAAAUUGAGCCAUGGGCAUAUAAAGUGGAUAAUUGGAAGUAAUUGCCUAAUAGUUUUUUUUUCUCAUAGGUUUCCAUUAAGAAUUUCUCGAAUCUGUUGUAUCCAUCAGGAAUGCCAGGUCUCGUGGAUCAGUAUAGGGAUCAAAUCGAAGCUGCCAGCACAGCAUCACAGCCAUAGCAACACUGGAUCUGAGCUGCAUCUGUGACCUACACCAGAGUUUGUAGCAAUGAUGGAUCCUUUACCUACUGAGGGAAGCCAGGGAUCAAACCUGCAUCUUCACAGACAUGUGACACUUGACGUAUGAAUAAGAUGAGAAUAUCCUGCACUGCAUCACUUCGCAAAGGGUGAGGAAUUAAAUUCAUCAUCAAGAGGGAUCUCCAUUUUAAGAAUGAACAAUAAAAUUUAAAAUCAGAGUCAAGAAUUGCUGAAUAUGUAGAAUGAAGGUGGGGAGAAGUUGACUUGGUUGUGCUCAGGCCUCAGGAACCUUUUACCUGCCGGAAGCUGUCAUUUUAUCAGACGUGAUGGGAAGACCACUGUAGGCCCUCAGUGACUGGCAAGGCCCCAUAGGAAGAUGGGCCAUGAGUGGGAGAUGCUGGAGCAAGAACAAGGAGCCAGCAGAUGCGCGCCCCCUCUGGCUGUGAGCUUCCUCCCGUCCCUGCCCGCCCUCCGGACCCCGCAGCAUCCCGCGGCCUGUGACCUGCAGGGCAGGUGGGUGGGCGCCUGACGCCAGGCUGGUUUCUUCAUCCGUCUUCCGCAUUCAGAUCCACUCGUGCACACUCUCACACCCAGACCCACACGCAUGCACACACGGAACUCCGGCUCAGACGACAGUGGCCGCGAAGCAUGUGGUUGUCGCAGGCAGUGCCCACCGAUGGAGUAGAACAACCUUUGGAGUUUGAUUAUAUUUACCAUCAUUUACAGUCAAAAUCAUUGACUUACAAGGAUGGGAAAACAUUCAGAAAUCAGCCUGUUCAAGUCAAGCAGUCACACGUAUUUACAGUAUGUACAGACUUUCUCCUAGAACGGGGAUAGGUGUCUGGACGAUGGUAUUACAAAUUUCCUGAAGGUGGGCGUUUCUAGUUCCUGUAAUUCAUAAAGCAAAUCUGCUGACUUGGCAUUAAGACUCUAAAACAGUGUGGUCAAACUGAUAUAUAUAUAUAUGUAUAUAUAUAUAUAAUAUAUAUAAUUAUCAUAAGAAGGUGUUUGCAGAAAUAACAUUUACAAACUGUCUAUACAGUACACAAUACUAGUACAUAGAAAAUAGAUUCUAACUUUAUGAUCCCCUUUGUGUAAGGCAAGACUGAAUCUGUCCCCAAAUUUAGUCAGCCAGAGGUACAAGCAAGAAACAGUGGUCCAUGGAUGAAUAUGCAAAUCAGGUCGGUGCCUACAUACUAAAAAUCACGAGAAUCAAGAAAUCCCACUUUUAAUAUGGGCCAGUCCUGGCCCGCUGGAUACAUCAACUACCUUUUGCAAAAUGUCAGCUAUGCAUCUUAAAAUACUAAUGCCAUAGGGAUGGCAAAAGAUUUUGUUCAAGCCCAGCAAGUUGAAAUACUUCAGUCCGCAACAAGAGGAUGGCAGCCUUCCAGGACAAUUCAGGUAGCACUUAGGAAAAAAAUAUUAAUACCCUAUUUCAUGCUAUUGCUAGUUAAGCAAUAUGUACAAAAUACACAGAUCAAAUAUGACUGCGAUGUAGAUGCCUUCCAGACUGAGUGUGAGGGUGGUGGUGUACCAGACUUUAAAAACCGAAAAAAAAAAAAAAAAAAAAAACCAACCAACCCCCAACAACACAAAAGGAGGAACGUCACUGGCGGAUGUCAACAUCCCUGUUGCAGUCCCCAGCCUCGUUCCGCUUCUUGGCGAGCCCUUCUGCGUCCUUGAAUUUGUGGCGGCUCCGCUGUCUGCUGCACUCAUUGUGGUCCUGCUCCCGAUCCGGGUCCCGGGCGCGGUGCCGGGACUCGCGGUGUCUGUGCUCACCACCUCCGUGGGGCUCCUCCCUGUGGCUGUGGUCACGGUGGGCGGCGCAGUGGUCCACGGGCUCGUGGCAGGAAUCUUCCUUGGUGGAGUCUCGACUCUCCUGUGUCUCUGAGUCCAGCGUCUUCUGCCUGAAGAGGCUGUGCCCGGCACCACUGUGGUGGUUGUGGUGCUGGGUGGAGGACAAAGACCAGUGCUGGGGUUUCCGGACCGGCUCCGGGCAGGCUUCUUCUUCAACUUGGGAAGCAGACCGGCCCGGGGCUGAGCGAUCCAUCCUCUGAUCGCCUGGAGGCAUAGGGGGCAAACACAGUCCUCAGCCAAUUCCGGAGUCGUUAGACUAUCACAAAAGCAAGUCAUUCCCAGUGGAAUCCCUUUUUGAGGGAUUUGAAAGUAAAAUCUAACCUCGCUCUGUUGCUUCUUUUGAUAACAUCCAGUGGCGUCUGUAAGGUUUAUAUUGUAUUAUGUUGAACUUUAUGUUAAUUUGUGAGGGCCUAGGACAGUGCACAGAGGAAUUUUUUUAAUGAACAAGUGGAGGAGGGAGGGCGUUCCUUUAUUUGCUCAUAGUUCAACUACAGGUACAGGUCCUUGAGAUGCUUACACAUGGCUGCUCAAAUAUGUGUGGGAAGAUGAAAACUUCUUAGGAUGUUGGCUUUAAGGGAAAAAAAUGAUAAAAUGGCAAAUGCUUUAAAUGGCAGAUAAUGAGACCAGCACUGUUGUAAGAUAGUGACAUACAUUGUCAUCAAUACAGCCACCUGAUAAUCUUGAGAACAGGCAUGAUAAUCUUGAGAACAGACAUGAGAUGGGACAGGUCAUGACAUGGCCUCAUGAGGUAGGUGGCUACUAGUAUUCCUGAGGCACAGAGCAGGUAAGGAAUCGGUCCAAGAUUACACAGCAGGGAGGAGAAGGUGAGGGAUGGGAACCUAGGCAGCCUGAGUCCACAGGCUCGGCUGCCCCCAUGUAGAAAGUUCUGCCAUCCCUGUCUUAGUAGGCUAUGGGGCUAGGGGCUCUUACAGGUUUCUAUACCUUCACCGGACUCUGCUUUUCUUAUAGGUACUCAGUUGACACUGGAGAUACUUGAGGACUCAGCGUUUGUCACAUUCUGGAUAGAGCUGCCCAGUUGGAACAAGCACAGCACCCGGGAUCGGGGCACAGAUCCUAGCCAGGCGGCCGCAGGGAAGAGCUGCUUGCUUACCUCAGGGAGAACUCGAGGAGGAAGAAGACAACAUCGGCUGGUGAUUCCUGCUUAGACGUCACCCACCACUGCUUCUUCAUCAUCAGCGCAAAUAUCUGAACAGCGAAAAAGGGGGUGAAUGUCUCAGUGUUACUUACCAUGAAGAUGCUCUUCGCCUAAUGGACCCUCUGACAGCGCCUCAGAAGCUCCUCCACCACGAAUCCAUGGGCUGCUCUUUGGGAAUCACUGUUCUACACCAUGAAAUUAAUCGUCCUCCUCUGCUUCUAUGAAUCUUAACAAUUCUUGAUCACCAUCUCUCUCUCAAACCCUCUGUGGAAGGUAAAAGCCUGUUUAUAAUUGGAAAGCAGGAUAUAAACACACAUUAGUAAAGUUUCAUUACACAACAAACACUAACAACCUGGCUUACCUUAGGAGAAGACAUCUUGUAAUAGGGGCCAGAGAGGUUUUACUGAGUUGAGCUGGAUGAUUAAUAAGUAUCUGCAUCAAGGUCCACCAGUUGCAGUCUUCUUGCAAGUUCAAAAAUCCUCUCGAUUUCACUCUGAAGUUCUGCUGUAAAAGAUUAUUCAGACCAGAUUGAGAUAAAAGUAAAAGGCUACUCCUGGAGGUGAGCCAUUAGGUUGAUGUCUACAGGUAAGAGAGCUGAGAACAGGCAUCAAGGGAAAAAGCCAUUUCUUCACAACACCUCUAGAAUUUAGAGAAUUCCUAUCAGCUAUAAGAUUUAGUUCUAAUAUAACAUACAAUCUGAGAGUCAACUUUUUUGGCUCGCUCUCUGCUGACUUGUGUUUGGUGCUAUAAAACUUCUAUGAAGUCAUUCCAUGAAAAUGUUGUAAAAUAGAAACUUGAAGAGCUGUCUGUCUGUCGUGUUGGUUUCUGACCACUCUAGCCCAGCAACCAUCACCAGCUUUCCUGUCAGUGCCUGGGCUUAUGUGUUUGCAUGUCACCUCUUGGUCUGCUCUCUGGAUAUGACGGUGUCCAGAGAUGGAUAUUAUAGCAAGCUGAACUUCAGCACACAACAGGACAGGCUUAAGAGUGUUUACAACAAACUGGUCCAGAAACCCACUUCUCAUGUCUUCCACAAACAAAAGAAUAAUCCUGUAACAUUCAGGCUUUAAAAGGGCAAUUAUAGGAGUUCCUGUUGUGGCUCAGCGGAAAUGAACCUAAGUACCAUGAGGACGAGGGUUUGCUCCCUGGCCUCGCUCAGUGGGUUAAGGAUCUGGUGUUGCCCUGAGGUGUGAAGGACACGGCUUGGACCUGACAUUGCUGUGGCUGUGGUGUAGGCUGGCAGCUGUAGCUCUGAUUCAACCCCUAGCCUGGGAACUUCCAUAUGUGGCACCAAAAAAAAGGAGGGGGUGUCAUUUUUAUAUGAUUUAUAGAAAACUACAUGAUUUAUAGAAAACAUCCAUAUGCUGCAGGUGUGGCCCUAAAAGGACAAAAGAUAAAAAAAAAAAAAAAAAAAAAGAUAGUUGCACUCCAUGUUCAUUACAGCACUAUUUACAGUAGCCAAGACCUAAGCGUCCACCAGUGGAUGAAUGGAUAAGGAGAAUUUAAUACACAAACACACAGACGAAUACUGCUGAGUCAUAAAGAAGGAAAUCCUGCCAUUUGCAACAACACUAAUGGACCUUACUGACUUUAUGCUAAGUGAAGUAAGAGAAAGACAAAUACCAUACAAUCUUACUUAAAUGCGGAAUGAAAAAAAAUUUCAUAGAUACGGAGAUUAGAUCAGUGGUAGACAGAGGUGGGAAGUGGGAGGAAGGUGGUCAAAGGGUACAAAUAUAUCCUGCAGAUGUAACUGCACAGCCUGGUGACUCUAGUUAACAAUACUCUACUGUAUAUUGAAAGUUACUGAGAGAGUAGAUCUUCAAAGUUCUCAUCACAAGAAAAAAAUCUGAAACUGUAUGUAGCUGUAACUAGACUUAACUGUGGUCAUUACACAAUAGAUAUAUGUGUCACAUCAUGUUGUACACCUGAAACUAAUACAAUGGUAUAUGUCCGUUAUGUCUCAAUAAAAAGAAAUUUGAUCACA
Molecule: long non-coding RNA, 6970 nt
Filed under: Sus scrofa (pig)
Lineage: Eukaryota; Metazoa; Chordata; Mammalia; Artiodactyla; Suidae
Description: lncRNA (ENSSSCG00025066922.1)
Source: RNAcentral